AUAUAAGGAUCACACUCCACACACACAUAUAUGUGUGUGUGUGGGGUGUGAUCCUUAUAU
Molecule: microRNA precursor, 60 nt
Filed under: Marmota monax (woodchuck)
Lineage: Eukaryota; Metazoa; Chordata; Mammalia; Rodentia; Sciuridae
Source: RNAcentral